Pipistrellus kuhlii (Kuhl's pipistrelle) is the source of this 190-nucleotide long non-coding RNA. RefSeq lists it as uncharacterized. The transcript is spliced from 3 exons. NCBI's taxonomy places the organism in Eukaryota, Metazoa, Chordata, Mammalia, Chiroptera, Vespertilionidae. The record is from RefSeq and is a predicted model, not a curated record.
CAAUGGGCAGUGACAGCUCCUCCCAGACUAAUGCCUUGAAUCUGUCUCCAAAGCCCCUUUUUCUCUGACUUCCUAGUGAGCCAGAGCAGCCCAGCCUAGGCUCUCCUGUUGCUUCUCCUAUCCUAGGCACUUCCUUGUUUCACUGACCCCAGUUUUAAUAAAUGUACCCUCAAAAAAAGGCAUUCCUGGU